AAAAUUUAAAAGCGAAAUAAUAUAUAUUUUUUUUACGUAAACUUUGAACUAAUACAGAAACUAAAUCAAAGACUGAGGUAGGAGAUUUAAGGAAAGAUAAGUGACGAAAUUUUAUUUUUAUUUUUUUCUAAAGAGCUAAUAAUACUAAACAACUUGUAUAAACAAGACUGCAGCAAACUAGGGUCCUUAAUUUUUUUUUUUUUGAAACUUAAAUAAAAGAAAACUAGAAAUCAAAACUAUAGAAAGAAAAUGGAAAAGAUAAACCUGGCAAGGGAAGAGCGUGAACUGUGCUCUGAUACCAAAUGAUACAAGACUCUGUAGUGAGCUUAUACUAGGAUAGAGAUGAUGUACUCACAAGAUGGCGGUCGCUUCUCUCUUGUGAAGGAAAUAUGGUCGUUGAUGUAGAUUUGACACGAUGGCGGUCGCUUCUCUCGUAUGGGAUCAAUUGGAGGGGAAGUUCUGGCGGAUUGAAGUACACCACAGAGAUGUGAUUGGUCUCUGAUACAGUACACGAACUCAGACUUGUGGAAUCACACACACAAGACAAAGAACACGUUUUUCUGUUAAGAACACUUAAGGAGAAAAAGAAAAAAAAUUCGUCGUUUUUAUUAAUAAUCAAAUGUAAAGAAUCGUAGAACUGCUGCAGGGUGACUUUAUAAGAGUCCUUCAGCUAGCCCUAGGGCCAAACAUAAAUGCAAAAAUACAAAAGGAAACAAAUAAAAAGCAAACACAAAACCCAUUGUUUUUGGAAAGAAAAUGACAAAAUAAAGAAACUAAUUGUGCACACUUGAACUCACUUGAAGGGCAUGUAUUCUAGCUGUUGUUGGGGGCUGUUGGACCUGCAAAGAUAUAAUAUAUUUAAUAGAACUUACCUAUGUGCGGUUUAGGCCUAAUCGAGGUUUUCUGAACUACAUCAUGUACUACUCGCUGAUCUACUUCAAGGAGUCUUGUGAGGUGCCCGUUUGUUUGUUGGCUUUUUGAAGUAGAUGGCUUCUUGGAGUUUGUCUUGGGUAGCUUGAUCAAUCUCUUGAAGCUCUUCUAAGCCCUUCAAUGUCUUGUUCUUGAUCUUCAAUCUCUCGAUCACUCUCAAAGGUGAAGCUUGUUUUGAUCGUCUCUUAUAACUCCAUUGUCUUCGCUUGGAUUCUAGAGGUUUCUUGACCUGUCAAAGGAGAAUUCAUACCUGGGGAAAUAGUAUGUUCAAGACUCAUUUGGAUGAAUGCUUCAUCAAGCUCUUCCUCGGCGAUGGGAUCAUAUUCGUUGUGAUGGAGUAAAGGUGGUACAGAGCAGUUGACGUCAUUCAGCUCUAUUGAGCUCACAAUGUCUUGUACAGCUAAGUUGAAUCUCUUUCUAAGCUGUGUACACUUUAAACGAGUCAUGGGACCUUAUAGGGUGUGGUACAUGAUCUUGUACAUGAUCUAGUUCAGCAGGUUGGACAUGAUAAUUAAUGUCCGAUCAGCUUGCCCAGAGACGGUACUAGUGUGGCUGGAAACCUAGUUGGGGGUGUUCCAGCAAGUGGGACCCAAGGUCAGAAUUAUCAGCUUGCGGAUCUGCUGACGUAGCUUUUGGAGCAGUUACAUGGAGCGGUACUAGCGCAGGCUCCAGUUGGACCGCCAAGGGUGGCGAGAGUGCAGCAUGUUGAGCCAGCUGGGCUUGGUUUGCAACCAGGUGGGCCCAGUGUGCAGCCCGGUGUCGGGGUUGUACAGCCAGAAGAGAUAUGUGCGGUUGUCGAGCAGCUGUACUGUCGGCGGAUAAUGGAGCAGGUACAGAGUUUCAGGAUGUCCAUGCUCUUCAGGGGUUUCGAUCCUGCUGUAGCGGAUGAGUUGUGGGUGAGAUUGGAACAGUACUUCCAGUCGAUGAGAUGUCCGGAGGCGUACAGGGCAUACCUAGCGGCUCACUACUUGGUCGGUGAUGCACACUUGUGGUGGAGGAGUGAUAAGUCUGUAUUUCAUCGCUUUUUGAGCAUGCAUUCAUCAUCUUUUCAGCAUCAUUCACUUGUUGAUUCGUAUCAUAUUGAUCCCUUUCUGCAUGUUUUACAUACUUAGGUAGGUUUUAUGCAUAUCAUGCAUAUCUUGCAUACAUUGUGCAUAUUUGGAGUGUUUCAGGUACUUAGGAGACAUGCAGAGCGAAGUAGAGGAACAAGUGUUACUCGACGUGCACACGAUCGAGUGGGACGAUCGAGUGAGAAGCAAGGAUGAAUUGCAGUUACAUCGACGAUCGAGUGAGCAGCAGACGUAUACGAUCGAGUAGCAGAUCGAGCAGAAGGGAAGCGAAGCAGAACCACCUGUCACUCGAUGCUCUCACUCGAGUGACAUGAUCGAGCAAAGCAAAGAAGUAGCUGAUGGUUUCACAGGUCACUCGACACGAUCACUCGAGGAACACGGUCGAGUAUGAAAUGAUGCAGAGAAGAAAUUAAGUGUUACUCGACACGCUCACUCGACCGACAUGACCAUUACAACUUUUAAACCGCUUUUACGUUGUCGUUUUAUGUUUUAAGGUUUUCCCAAACAUUGUUAUAAAUAGGUCUCAUUUGGAUUGCCCAAGGGAUCAAGUUUAUUUUUAUUAGGUUUUUGUUGUUAGCCACCAAACGAUCCUGAGAAUUGUAAUCGUGAUUUCUUUGGAGUUAUUGAUAUUUUGCAGUUAGUUCUUGAAUCAUUGUUGUUACUCUUCCUGUCAUCUUUAUUAUUAUGCAUGUUUUGAACGAUUCUUGUUUCAUGAUGUUUAACAUGAUUUCUGCGUUUGAGUAGUGUUAGGGUUCUUGAGGAUGGGAUAGAUUAGGUGGAGGAUGUUAGUUUGCUAGAGUGUUUAUGUUAGAUUCGUUUUGUUUCCCUUCUGGACUAGAGUUUUAUUAGCUAGUUCUUCUCUGAUCAAUUGGAACUGGGUCAUAGACAUUUCAUACCCGAAAGGUAUAUGAUGAAAUGUCUGAACCAACUAGUGCCAGAGAUUUACAUGCUUAGCCCAAGAGAUUGGUUGUCUAAGAUGUUUAUUGACAUUAAUGAGCUGUUUCUUUAUGCCUGCUUACUACAUGUUUCAUCAAUGAGAAUUGAGAUUAGGAAGUGUUGUAAACUUGAUAGUUUCUGCCAAGAGAUUGGAUUGACUAGUAUUAGAAGUUCAUUGUCUAGGGAUUAGAAUGUUUGCAGUUUGAUAAACACUCGAAGUAGAUUAGCAUACUCCACCUACAUCAAUAACCUCAUCCUCGGGAUCUUCUAUCCAUUUGUGCUUUCUGUUUAAUUCUCUUGUUAUUUACUUGGUCUGCUUUGUUUUCUUGCCAGUAUCAAUAAUCGUUACGUUUUAGUUUAUGCAUGGUAGUCUAUGUUUUACAGCUUUACAUUUAUCGCAUGUUUAACAUGUUCGCUUAGGAUGACUGAAAACCAUAAAUCAUUUAUGCUUGCUUGACUUAAUCCUUUCUGAUAUAUCUUGAUUGCUAGCAUCACACCUGAUUGGAUUGAUACCUAUUGUACUGCAAUGACAUGAUAGUACUCUAGGGUAAUUGAUAGAAAAAUCCUAGUAUCAAGGAGUGUGCUGGCCAGGAGGGAGUAGGGAUUGAUGGUGUGGGGGACUUCUAAGCAGAGUUUAAUGCUAAGUAUUUCCCGCCGGAGGCAUUGGACCGAAUAAAGUUGCAGUUUCUGGCGUUGACUCAAGGUGAGCGGCCAAUGCGGGAGUACAACUCGGAGUUUAGCACAUACUUGAUGUACUCAGGUCGUGUGGGAUAUCCGGAGCAGAUGUAGGUGCAUCGGUUCAUGAAGAGCUCAACCACGACAUGAGGGUGCGAUGGAAGAUGCGAACAACCGCAUUGCGUGAGGAGCUCGUCGAGGUGGCAGCGGGUGUUGAGGACAAGCUGAGGAGUUUUGAUGGUGGUUCCUAGUUCGUCGACACAGCAGAAGAUGGCCUAGCCGUAGUCGGUUCCGAGUAAGGGCGGCAAGCCUGCUCAGGGACAGAAGAGGAAGUGGAUGAUGCGUCGGGUGUAGGAGCAUGGAUCACAAGCUGGCAAGCUGUCCGAAAAAGAGCAAGACGCGUGUGGAGACUCGUGUCUGUUUCCACUUCAAGGAGACGGGGCACAUCAAGGCGAGCUGUCCUAAGACGCAGUAGAUGACAGUAGCGGCUAUGCAGUUGUUGGAGUAGUGGGUGCAGCCUAGAGUGCAGCCUAUGGCUCAGUUGGGAGUGCCGUUAAUGGCGCAGAUCGAGGAAUGCGGGUCUACUUGGUGGUGGAGAUGGGAGAGCCAGGCACCGUUCUAUCGAUCACAUAUUUAAUUCUAAGACUCAGUCUAUUCCGUUAUGUCGUUUUAGAAUUAUUUUCGGUGAUUGUGGGGUUUUGGGUUCUUAGCGUAAGGGUUUGUGUAGGGACCCGAUUAGUGGGCGGGUUCUUGUCCCAUGUGUUGUUUUAUUCUGGAUCUACAAAUAAAUUCAUUACCACAGAGUGCGUGGCGGGUGGUAACAUCCAAGGAGAUCUUGGUGGUUAUUUUGGAGCUGUUAGAGUCGCAUGAGGCGCGUUGCUAGCGGUUCAAGGACAUGUUAGUGGUGUGGAUGUGCAGAUUGUAGGAGAGUCGAUGAUGGCAAAUCUAUACAUCAAUCCGGUGGAGCUGUAUGAUCUCAUUCUAGGCAUGGAUUGGUUGGAUCGGCAUAGAGUUCAUCUUGAUUAUCAUCGGGGGAGAGUCUACUAUGAGCGGCCUGGGCCGAAGUUGUAUUACUAGGUUGUGAGAGCGAUUUCGGGGAGUCUUGUAAUUUCGGCAAUGUAAGCGGAGAAAAUGAUUAAGAAGGGUGGAAAGCCUACUUGGCUACGGUCGAAGAGGGAGCGGUGAGUCAUAUCCGGGUGGUACAGGAGUUGGAGGACGUGUUUCAGUCGUUGAAGGGGUUACAAUUGAGUUAGAACCUGAGAUAACGCUGAUGUCUAAGGCUCAAUACUGGAUGGCUCUAGUAGAGAUGGCUGAGCUGAAAAAGCAGUUAGAGUAUUUGCAAAGUACGGGUUUCAUCGGUCCUAGUGUUUCAUCGUGUGCAGCACCAGUGCUGUUUGUUGUGAAGAAGGAUAAGAGUUUCCGGCUUUGCAUCGAUUACCAGGGAUUCAACUGAGUCACGGUUAAGAACAAGUAUCCUCUACCGCGGAUUGAUGAGCUGUUGGACCAGUUUAGUGGAGCUACAUGGUUUUCUAAGAUUGAUUUGGCUUCAAGGUACCAUUAGAUUCCUAUUGACAGCGUUUAGGACGAGAUAUGGGCAUUAUGAGUUCGUGGUGAUGCCUUUCAGAUUGACAAAUGCACCAGCGGCGUUCAUGAGGCUGAUGAACAGUGUGUUAUAGGCGUUUCUGGAUGAGUUCAUUAUCAUCUUCAUCGACGAUAUCCUGGUGUAUUCUAAGAGUCUUGAGGAUCACGAGAUGCACUUGAGGGCAGUUUUCGAGAAGUUACGGGAGUAAAAGAUGUAUGCUAAGCUGAGCAAGUGAAGUUUCUAACAGAGAGAGAUGGGUAUUCAGGGUCACAUUGUGUCUGCAGAGGGAGUUUCUGUGGAUCCGGAGAAGAUCGAGGAUAUCAGAGAUUGGCCAAGACGGUUCGUGAAGGGUUUUGCAAGCACAAGUCAACCAAUGACCAACCUGACGAGGAAGGAUGUUCUUUUUGUGUAGACUUCUGAGUGUGAGCAGGGUUUUGCUAAGCUCAAGGAGAUGUUGACGAGUACGCCAGUCUUAGCUCUACAAAAGGUGGGGGAGCCGUAUGUGGUGUACACAGAUGCCUAGGGAGUUGGUUUGGGUUGUGUGUUGAUGCAGCAGGGUAAGGUGAUUGCAUAUACUUUGCCGUAGUUAGAGAAGCAUGAGGGCAAUUACCCUACUCAUGACUUGGAGAUGGCGGCGGGAGUCUUCGCUCUGAAGAUUUGGCGAUCCUAUCUGUUUGGGACGAAGGUUCAGGUGUUUACAAAUCAUAAUAGCCUGAUGUACAUAUGCACGUAGCCUGAGUUGAAUUUGAGAUAGAGGCGGUGGAUGGAGUUGGUUGCAGACUAUGACAUGGAGAUAGAUUACCAUCCCAGUAAGGCUAAUCUGGUUGCAGAUGCCUUGGUGAGAAAAAUUAGCACUCUGUAGUUGUGUGCUUGAUUCUUCACAUUUUCUGGAUUUGUUUGUAUAAUUGAACCUUGUGUUCUUAUUUUCUGGGAUUAUUUUCAAGAUUGUUCUUGGUGUUCUUCUUUUCUAGGUUACUAAUCUACUAAAUUUGAGUUUUGAGUUUCUCAUUCCCAGGAAACAAAGAUGUCUUCAAGGAUUCCUCAACCCAGAAGGAAGAGCCUCUCAAGAUCACAACGAGAAGCUCAUCACAGCCAAUCCGCUGAAGAAAUUGCAAGAAAUUUCUUGACAAUCCAAGCCACUGGAGCCGGACUCGAUCGGGUCAGAAGUGUGAGAAGAGAAGCCCGACCUCAAACCCGAUCACCCGAUCGGGCCAAUCGAUCGGGUCAGACCCUCCCAAUUUCCAGAGAAGAAGUUUCGAUAGGGAAAAGGCCUGCAGAAGAAGAUGUCGAUUAACCGAUGGUGGAUAUAGAGCCUAGGAGGGUAGUGGCACCGAGGAAGACCAAGAACUUACCCCCUCCAGAAGAGCUAUACGCAAUGUUUAGGCGCCAAAAGUUCGUUGGAACUCGCUAUCCUCACCGGCAAACGAUGAAGGAGCUGGGCAUAGCAUGAGAUGUUGAGUUUCUGUUCGAGAGAAGCGGGCUCGGUUCAUUCAUGACCAGGAACUUAGAAGCCUACGACGAGGAGACGUGCUACGUGUUAGCCUCACUCCAGCUCCAUUUCUACGAGGAUAAAUCCAAGUUUCACUCGGAUGACUGCCUUGGAUACAUCACCUUCAGCGUGAGAGGUACUACCUAUUCUCUCACGUUUAAGGAAGUUGAAAAGCUCUAUGAGUUUUUGCAAGGAAGCAGGAUGAGCCAAUAUGUGCUAAAGGUGGAGAUCAAAUCUGUUUGGAAAACCAUUGGAGAUGGGAAAGAAUAAACUUCUUCGAAAUCCAAGAGCGCCCAAAUCCGAAAUCCAGUUGUGAGGUAUUUCCAUAAGUCCUUGGCUAAUACGAUUUUUGCUAGAAAGGAAACCGGGAAUGUGAAUGAGAGUGAGAUCCAGCUGAUAGACAUAGCAUUGAGUGGUGUAUUGCCAAGUACUAGGGAUGGUAGAGAACUAGUAGGAGAUAGAACAUAUGGUAGCAUGGUCUCGGUCCUGUUAGACCAGCUGAUGUAUUGCUAGGAUUGGGUAUUAAAGGCUGUUAGGAGAGGUGUGCAAGGAGAUCUCAGUAUUGGUGGACUAGUCACCCCCUUAUUAGUAGCUUGUGAUGUUGAAUUGCGGGGGAGGGUCUACAACGUUCGCUGGAUUGACAUUGAGACCUUGACAAGGACACACUUCCUUGAUAGCGAGCGUCCCAACGAAUUUUACCUAUAUAAGUUUACUCACCCUUCACUUGGAGCAGCAAGAAUGGUGUUGCCUAACACUGAGCUUACAAAGAUCAGAUUGGGUGCUAAUAUCAACUUUUGGCCACUAGUCUCGGCAUUAUAUGACCCGAACUCGGUCCAAGACCAAGUUCGUAGCUUCGAGCCAGUUAAACAAACCUAUGCACCUGAAAUCAAAGAAGAAGAACCUGCUAGGGAAGAACAGGAAGAGGAUUUCUAUUUUGACGAGUGGGAAGAGUCCUCUAGGCAGUUAAGGGGGGUAAAGGAAGCUCAUAAAAAGAUUAGGAUCCUUCAGAAGUGGAACAAGUUCCAAAGCAAGACUAUCAAGGCAUUGAAGAACACUGUGAAGGAUCUUGCCGGAAUAGUUAAGGAUAUGGGGGAGCAGAUUAAGGAGCUUCAGAACAAGAUUGGAUGCUCAACCUCCACUACAGCCAUGCCUAGUAGUUUGGGUAGGAGUGCAUCACUCAGAAACACCUACCAAGUCCAACCUACCAGCUAGCCUGCCCAGAGCCUCAUUUGAUCCAAGGAGAAGUCUGUUCAGAACCAGAAGAUAACCGGGAGCUGACACGAGUACCUCACCCGAUCGCACACCCGAUCGUGCCUGCUCAUCACGCCCGGUUGGGUCAACCUCACCUCGCAGUCGACCCUGACAACGUCCAGGACGAGCAUGUAGCAGCGAACCUCGACGUAAUGAGCUCGUGGUUUGGACCAUCCAAGAGGUUAUUCUAUUACCCUCACCUUUGUAAAUACAACCUUGCAUUUUUAUAUUUUCUUUUUUAUUCUAAGUCUUCUUUUAGAUUUUUAUUACACAAGAGACUGUGUAAUUUAAGUUUGGGGGAGAGCUUAGGAUAGCAUUUGACAUGUUUUCUAUUUUCUUAUUUCGAAUUUUUAGCAUCUAGUCUUGCAUUCAUCUAUGUGCAUCAAAAACCCCUAAAAAUUUGAAAAAUCUCAGAAAAUCCUUUAAAAACAGAGUGUUCAUAUAGUUGCAUUUGCAUAUUAGUCUUGCUUUAGGGAUGUUGCAUUUAGGAUCAUUGCAUUAGCAUAGGGGAUUAUGAUGAUUAUAACCAAGGAACUUGCUGUUUCAUUAGAUUUAGCACCAAUGCCCUCGUUCAUAGUUGUUUAAUGCUUUCAUUUGAGCCUGAAAUGAUACCGCACCAUUCUUUGAUCGCAUGAUUUGAAUUCUAGUCUAAACUGAAGCUUGCUUUGAUAUGAUGCCAUCCUUUACUUAUAAGAACCUUAACUUGAAUUGAUAAUUAUCUGAUUGUGAUUUGUUUUAAACUCAUGGAUACCUUGCAUACAUACUUGGAUCUUCUUUCCCUCUUUUUACCACUCUCUUGUUGAUCCAAGUAGCUGGUCAUAACCUUGACCAGUUAACCACACCCUAAAAACCUUAACCUUUCCUUCAAGCCUUUGUUUUAAUUCUAAGUGGAAGGCCUAUUUUUUUGGCUUGAGCUUUAAGAGAACGUGUUAAGUUUGAGCCGACAGGAAUAUGGUCUUGCGUAGUUCUGAUUUGCAUCUUUCGGAUCAGAUAAGACUAGGAUGGAUUCUACUUGGGUUUUGGGAUUUGUUGGGAUGAUGAAAAGAAAACAAAAGAAAAGAAUAAAGGAAUGAGUUGAGUCUUUAGGAGAGUAAAAAGUUUCAGAAAAGUUCAAGGUUCUAGUGAAAGAUAAGUGGGGAAUGAAAAGUAUAGAAAAUAAAUGGUUGUGGUUUUAUUAAACGAAAGAGAGAAAAGUGUGAAGAUAGCAAAAUGCUUUGAUGUCUUAAGUGUUAAGAAGAAAGAGAACCAUAGUGUAUAGUGUUUAUAAAGAAAACCCCCUAUCCACUAGUUUGAUAAUAAAUCUAUAUGAACACUCUGCUUUUUAAGGAUUUUCUGAAAUUUUUCAAAUUUUUAGGGGUUUUUGAUACACAUAGAUGAAUGCAAGACUAGAUGCUAAAAAUUCAAAAUAAGAAAAUAGAAAACAUGUCAAAUGCUAUCCUAAGUUUUCUCCCAAACUUAAAUUACACAGUCCUUUGUGUAAUAAAAAUCUGAAGGAAGACAUAGGAUAAAAAAGAAAAUAUAAAAAUGCAAGGCUGUAUUUACAAAGGUGAGGGUAAUAGAAUUACCUCUUGGGAGGUCCAAACCACGAGCUCAUGACGUCGAGGUUCGCUGCUACAUGCUCGUCCUGGACGUUGUCAGCGUCGACUGCGAGGUGAUAGGUUGACCCGACCGGGCGCGAUGACCCGGCCCGAUCGGGUGAGGUGCUCGUGUCAGCUCCCGGUUCUCUUCUGAUUCUGAACAGACUUCUCCUUGGAUCAAAUGAGGCUCUGGGCGGGCUAACUAGUAGGUUGGACUUGGUAGGUGUUCUGACUGAUGCACUCCUACCCAAACCACUAGGCAUGGCUGUAGUGGAGGUUGAGCAUCCAAUCUUGUUCUGAAGCUCCUUAAUCUGCUCCCCCAUAUCCCUAACUGUUCCGGCAAGAUCCUUCAAAGUGUUCUUCAAUGCCUUGAUAGUCUUGCUUUGGAACUUGUUCCACUUCUGAAGGAUACUAAUCUUUUUAUGAUCUUCCUUUACCCCCCUUGACUGCCUAGAGGACUCUUCCCACUCGUCAAAAUAGAAAUGCUCUUCAUGUUCUUCCCUAGCAGGUUCUUCUUCUCUGAUUUCAGGUGCAUAGGUUUAUUGGGCUGCCUCGAAGCUAGUAACUUGGUCUUGGAUUGAGUUCGGGUCAUAUAAUCCCGAGACUGGUGGCCAAAAGUCGAUAUUAGCACCCAAUCUGAUCUUUGUAAGCUCGGUGUUAGGCAACACCAUUCUUGCUGCUCCAACUGAAGGGUGAGUGAACUUAUACAGGUAAAACCCAUUGGGACGCUCGCUAUCAAGGAAGUGUGUCCUUGUCAAGGUCUCAAUGUCAAUCCAGCGAGCGUUGUAGACUUUCCCCCGCAAUUCAACAUCACAAGCUACUAAUAAGGGGGUGACUAGUCCACUAAUACUGAGCUCUCCUUGCACACCUCUCCUGAUGCGGACAUCGAUUAUCAUGUCCAACCCGCUGAACUAGAUCAAGCACCAGAUCCUAUACCAUACCCUGUACCAGUCGUCCCAGUAGGUCCCAUGACUCGUUCAAAGUCUAAACAACUUAGAAAGAGGUUCAAUCUAGCUGUACAAGACAUUGUGAGCUCACUAGAGCUGAACUACGUCAACUGGUCUGUACCACCGUUACUCCAUCACGACGGAUAUGAUCCCAUCGCCGAGGAAGAGCUUGCUGAAGCAUUCACCCAAAUGAGUGUUGAACAUACCAUUUCCCCAGGUAUGAACUCUCCUUUGACAGGUCAAGAACCCUAUAGAAUCCAAGAGAAGACAAUGGAGUCACAAGAGACGAGCAAAACAAGCUUCACCUUCGAGAGUGAAGAUCAAGAACAAGACAUCAAGGACUUGGAAGAGCUUCAAGAGACUGAUCAAGCUACCCAAGAGAAACUCCAAGAAACCAUCUACUUCAAGAAACCAACAAACAAACAUGCACCUGACAAGACCCCUGAAGUAGAUCAAGACGUAGUUCAGAGAACAUCGAUUGGGCCUAGAUCACAUCCAGGUAAGUUCUAUUCAGUAUUUUCGAUAUUUGCAGGUCCACUAAUCCCCAACAACGGCUAGAAUACGUUCCCUUCAAGUGAGUUUAAGUGUGCACAAUUAGUUUCUUUAUUUUGUCAUUUUCUUUCCAAAAAACAAUGGGUUUUGUGUUUGCUUUUUAUUUGUUUCCUUUUGUAUUUCUUUGCAUUUAUUUUUGGCCCUAGGGCUAGCUGAUGGACUCUUAUAAAGUCCCCCUGCAGCAGUUGUACGAUUUUUCACCCUUGAUUAUCAAUAAAGAACCGAACUUUCUUCACUUCUUCUCUUUAAGUGUUCUUAAGAGAAUAAGCUUGUUCUUUGUCUUGUGUGUGUGAUUCCACAAGGCUAAGAUCAUGUACUGUAUCAGAGACCAAUCACAUCUCUAUGGUGUACUUCAAUUCGCCAGCACUUCCCCUUCAUUCAAUCCCACACGAGAGAAGCGACCGCCAUCGUGUCAGAUCUACAUCAACGACCAUCUUUCCUACACAAGAGAGAAGCGACCGCCAUCUUGUGUAGCCAUCAUAUCUAUCCUGAUACAAGCUCACCACCGAGUCUUGUAUCAUCUCGUAUCAGAGCAUCACGCUCUUCCCUUGCCAGGUUUACAUUUUCCAUCUUCUUUUGAUAGUUUUGAAUUCUAGUUUUGUUUUAUUUUUCAAAAAAAUAAAAAUUUAAAAACCCUAGUUUGCUGCAGCCUUGUUUCUGUAGGUUGUUUAGUUUUAUUUUCCUUAACAAAAAAAAAUAAAAAAUUGUCACUAUUCUUUCCUUAAAUCGUCUGCUUUAGUCUUUGAUUUAGUUUCUGUAUUAGUUCAAGGUUUUCAUCAAAAAAAAUAAUAUAUAUUUCGUUUUUAAAUUUUUGCGUCAUUAUCUUUGUUAGCUAGUAUUAUUUAAGUAUCUUAAAGCUUAUUUAAAUUAUAUAAAAAAAAAAGUUUUCAUUUUCUUGUCUAAUUCAGCACGUGCAUCAGUUUCUCGUUUCUAAAGUUUUCAUUUUCGAUUUCUGUGGAACGUUGAUUUCUUUGUUGUUUUUGUCUAAGUGCAGGAUAAUUUUUAGACACUCACAAUGGGAGAACACGCAGCCAUACCACAAGAUGCCAUGAUACAAAUGAUGCAAACCCUAUCGAAACAACUAGAAGGGUUUGGCGAAAGGAUAGGUCGUUUGGAGCAGCCUCAGCCUAGAGCUGAAGCUGAACCAGUUCAGAUUCGAAGGAAUGCCCGUGAAGAGGAAGAAUACUCCCUUGACCUGGAUGACGACGAUGAUCCACCACCUGAUCCAUUAAUGCGUCAACAUCAGCGGAGAGAAGAUCCCUUGAUGAGGAACCGUGCCCGAGAGAUGGACACCCGUGAACAAAACCGAGAUGUUAAACUAACACCUCCUACUUUUGCAGGAAAAUCAAAUCCAGAGUUUUACAUGGAUUGGGAGAAGAGGAUGGAAUACAUAUUCCAAUGUUAUGGAUAUGGAGAAUCCCGAAAAGUAGCCUUAGCAUCGGCACAACUCAUCGACAACGCCUUAUCUUGGUGGGAUAGGACAGUGGCCGAAAGGAGGAGGCAAAGAUUUGCUCCCAUCAAAAAUUGGGAAGACAUGAAGUACCUCUUAAGGUUGAGGUAUGUUCCUGAUCACUAUCACAGAGACUUACAAAAACGUUUUAGAAAAUUGUCUCAGGGAACAAGGACCGUGGACGAGUAUUUUGAGGAGUUUGAGAAGCUCAUGAACUCUUUGGAGUUAGAAGAAUCCAGCGAGUCAUUGAUGGCUCAAUUCAUUGACGGGUUGCAAGAGCGUAUAGCCCGAAAAGUGGAGACGUCCAACUAUAGCAGCCUACAUUAACUACUUCACAAGGCUGUACAAGUGGAGCAAUAAAUGAAGCGUAAGAUGUCUCUGAGCAAUCGUACCAGGAGUAGUACACCUUGGAACGCAAGUAACAACCAAGGCAUGGACAAAGGCAAAGCUAUAGACAACGAUUCUCGAUUCAAGAAUAAGUCUAGUGAAGCGCCUAAGAUCACCAAGCCUGAACCAGGUAAGUUUCCUAGCACUAGUCAAUCUCGUACCCGUGACAUUACUUGUUUUAAAUGUCAAGGUAGAGGACACAUGGCGAGAGAGUGUCCGAACCAACGUGUGAUGAUACUCACUCCUAGUGGAGACUACGACUCUCAAGAUGAGCAAGAUGAGAACCUGAAUGAUCCAGAGGAAGAUGUGGAGUAUCUUGAUGUAGGAGAACUCCUUGUGAUCCGACGUAUGAUGAGCGUGUAUAUCAACCCCGAGGAGAAAGUUCAAAGAGAAAAUAUCUUUCACACUCGGUGCACAAUCAAUAACAAGGUAUGUAAUUUGGUUAUUGAUGGAGGUUCUUGCACUAAUGUUGCUAGCAAGUAUAUGGUAGACAGGUUAGGUCUUCAAAAGAGAAAGCAUUCGAGACCAUACAAACUUAGGUGGCUGAACGAUGAUGCUGAGCUAAAGAUUGCUGAACAAGUGACUGUAUCAUUCAGCGUUGGAAAAUAUCAGGACCAAGUUAUUUGUGAUGUAGUUCCAAGAGCCGGACAUCUUCUCCUUGGAAGACCAUGGCAGUUUGAUCGAGCUACUAAUCAUGAUGGUCGCACAAACCACUACUCUUUCACCCACAAUGACCGUAAGUUUAACCUUGCCCCUCUAAGUCCAUCAGAAGUUCAUGAGUUGCAAAAACACAUGAACAAAGAGGUCGAGGUAAGAACUUCUAGCCUUUACUUAAGUUCUAGUCAAAUUUUUUAAACCAUGAGUGCCCAUGGCACCGUGCUACUAAUGGUUUUCAAAGAAUGUCUAAGUACAUGUUUAGGUGAAGUUGAACUACCUGCUGAAGUACGAGCUGUACUAGAUCAAUACAACGAUGUGUUUUCGGAGGAGAUUCCACCAGGACUACCCCCUAUUUGUGGCAUCGAACAUCAAAUCGAUCUUGUACCAGGUUCUGCUCUACCUAACAAACCAGCUUACCGAAUGAAUCCGGAGGAGUCUAAGGAGUUAGAAAAGCAAGUGCACGACUUGAUGGACAAAGGGUACAUCAGAGAGAGCCUUAGCCAUGUGCUGUACUAGUUCUCUUGGUACCAAAGAAGGAUGGCACAUGGAGGAUGUGUGUAGACUUCCAAGCAAUCAAUAACAUCACCAUCAAAUACCGACAUCCUAUUCUGAGGCUAGUCGACAUGUUGGGUGAGCUAAGUGGUGCGAUCAUCUUCUCCAAAAUUGACUUGCAAAGCGGCUAUCACUAAGUCUGAAUGAGAGAAGGCGACGAGUGGAAGACCGCAUUAAAGACCAAGCAAGGUCUCUAUGAAUGGCUCGUUAUGCCCUUCGGGCUAACCAAUGCACCAAGCACCUUCAUGCGAUUGAUGAACCAGGUUCUAAGGUCAUUUAUUGGUAAAUUUGUUGUUGCCUACUUUGAUGACAUACUUAUUUACAAUAAAUGCUAUCCUGAUCAUACUAAGCACUUAGAGUUAAUUCUGAAAACGCUUUGGAAGGAAGGCCUUUAUGCUAACCUAAAGAAGUGCUCAUUUUGUACUGACAAGUGUGUGUUCCUAGGUUUUGUAGUGAGUAAAAAUGGCUUACAGGUAGAUGAAGAAAAGAUCAAGGCGAUCCGCAAAUGGCCUACUCCAACAUCUAUUGGAUAUGUUCGUAGUUUUCAUGGACUAGCAAGCUUCUACACGAGGUUUGUCAGAGACUUCAGCACAGUGGCUGCACCAAUGACUGCUGUAAUCAAGAAAAAUGUACCAUUCUCAUGAAGAGAAGCCCAAGAACAAUCAUUAAACACGCUGAAAGAGAGGCUUACAUAAGCACCAGUUUUAGCACUUCCAGAUUUUGAAGUUAUGUUUGAAGUGGAGUGUGAUGCAUCAGGUUUGGGAAUUGGAGCUGUACUACAUCAUAGAAAAAGACCAGUCGCGUUUUUCAGUGAAAAGUUAAGUGGAGCAGCAUUGAACUACCCGACCUACGACAAAGAGCUUUAUGCCUUAGUACGAGCACUUGAGACAUGGCAACACUACUUGUUUUCCAAGGAAUUCAUCAUUCACACCGACCAUGAAACUCUGAAGCAUCUCAAGGGUCAGACUUCACUCAAGAGGAGACAUGCAAAGUGGUUGGAGUUCAUCGAGACGUUCCCAUAUGUGAUCAAGUACAAGAAGGGAAAGGAGAACGUGGUAACUGAUGCUUUGUCGAGGAGACAUGCCCUUAUAGCUACAAUGAAGGCUUAAGUAAUGGGUUUUGAGCACAUCAUGGAGUUGUACAAGGAUGAUCCAGAAUUAGGAGAGUGCUACAAAGAGCAUGGCAAAGGACCUUAUCAAGCAUUCUACUUGCAAGAUGGAUUCUUGUUCAAAGACAAUCGGUUGUGCAUCCCUCAAGGUUCAAUGCGAGAGUUGAUACUCACCGCAGCACAUGGUGGAGGGUUGAUGGGUCACUUUGGUGUUGACAAAACCUUGGCAAUGGUCAUGGAUCAUUUCUUUUGGCCCCAUCUCAAGAAGGACGUGGAGAGAUUUUGUUCUCGAUGCAUUGUUUGCCACAAGGCAAAAUCCAGGUUUUAUCCUCAUGGUCUAUAUUUACCAUUACCUAUUCCUAACGCCCCUUGGGUAGAUAUUUUUAUGGACUUUGUUUUAGGAUUGCCUAAGAUUAGACACAAGGAUUCAAUCUUUGUCGUCGUGGACCGGUUCUCCAAGAUGGCACACUUCAUCCCAUGUGACAAGACCAAUGAGGCUACUCAAACCGCGGAUUUGUUCUUCAAGGAAGUGGUGCGCCUCCAUGGUAUCCCGAGGACCAUCGUCUCUGAUCGCGACACCAAGUUCUUGAGUCACUUUUGGAAGACAGUUAGGAGAAAUUUAGAUUUAGCACCUUUACCUCAGAUAGAAUAGGCUUGUCAAGUUGCGUUAAGACGAGGAGAAAUCAUAAAGAAGUUGCAUGAAAAAGCAAAAAGCAACUUGAAGAAGAAGGCCGUCGACAACAAACGCAAAGCUGAUCGAGGAAGAAAAGAAGUGUUAUUUGAACCAGGAGAUUGGGUCUGGUUACAUAUGAGGCCAGAGAGGUUUCCAACACAAAGAGCAUCCAAGUUAUCACCAAGAGGCGACGGUCCAUUCAGGAUCCUCGAGAAGAUCAAUGACAAUGCUUACCGUUUGGAGCUACCUAAUGAGGUAAAAAUUUCAAAUACUUUUGUCUGGUUAUGAUCCAGGAGAUUCAGUUUUGAGGGCAAAACCUUUUGAAGAGGGAGGGAAUGAUGCGGACAUUGAUUAUCCUGUCCAACCCGCUGAACUAGAUCAAGUACCAGAUCCUGUACCACACCCUGUACCAGUCGUCCCUAUAGGUCCCAUGACUCGUUCAAAGUCUAAACAACUUAGAAAGAGGUUCAAUCUAGCUGAACAAGACAUUGUGAGCUCACUAGAGCUGAACUACGUCAACUGAUCUGUACCACCGUCACUCCAUCUCGACGUAUAUGAUCCCAUCACCGAGGAAGAGGUUGCUGAAGCAUUCACCCAAAUGAGUCUUGAACAUACCAUUUCCCCAGGUAUGAAUUCUCCUUUUACAGGUCAAGAAACCUCUAGAAUCCAAGAGAAGACAAUGGAGUCACAAGAGACGAGCAAAACAAGCUUCACCUUCGAGAGUGAUCGAGAGAGUGAAGAUCAAGAACAAGACAUCAAGGACUUGGAAAAGCUUCAAGAGACUGAUCAAGCUACACAAGAGAAACUCCAAGAAACCAUCUACUUCAAGAAACCAACAAACAAACAUGCACCUGACAAGACCCCUGAAGUAGAUCAAGACGUAGUUCAGAGAACAUCGAUUGGGCCUAGAUCGCAUCCAGGUAAGUUCUAUUCAGUAUUUUCGAUAUUUGCAGGUUCACUAAGCCCCAAAAACGGCUAGAAUACGUGCCCUUCAAGUGAGUUUAAGUGUGCACAAUUAGUUUCUUUAUUUUGUCAUUUUCUUUCCAAAAAACAAUGGGUUUUGUGUUUGCUUUUUAUUUGUUUCCUUUUGUAUUUCUUUGCAUUUAUUUUUGGCCCUAGGGCUAGCUGAUGGACUCUUAUAAAGUCCCCCUGCAGCAGUUGUACGAUUUUUCACCCUUGAUUAUCAAUAAAGAACCGAACUUUCUUCACUUCUUCUCUUUAAGUGUUCUUAAGAGAAUAAGCUUGUUCUUUGUCUUGUGUGUGUGAUUCCACAAGACUAAGAUCUUGUACUGUAUCAGAGACCAAUCACAUCUCUGUGGUGUACUUCAAUCCGCCAGCACUUCCCCUUCAUUCAAUCCCACAUGAGAGAAGCGACCGCCAUCGUGUCAGUUCUACAUCAACGACCAUCUUUCCUACACAAGAGAGAAGCGACCGCCAUCUUGUGUAGCCAUCAUAUCUAUCCUGAUACAAGCUGACCACCGAGUCUUGUAUCAUCUCCUAACAGCCUUUAAUACCCAAUCCUUGCAAUACAUCAACUGAUCUAACAGGACCGAGACCAUGCUACCAUCUGUUCUAUCUCCUACUAGUUCUCUACCAUCCCUAGUACUUGACAAUACACCACUCAAUGCUAUGUCUAUGAGCUGGAUCUCACUCUCAUUCACAUUCCCGGUUUCCUUUCUAGCAAAAAUCGUAUUAGCCAAAGACUUAUGGAAAUACCUCACAGCUGGAUUUCAGAUUUGGGCUCUCUUGGAUUUCGAAGAAGUGUAUUCCUUCCCAUCUGGACUUGAAUCUCUUGUGCCCUUUGACCAUAAUUUAUAUACUUGCCUACCUUUGUGUGUUCUAAGUACCCCUUGACUUAUAUUGACUAAAUAAAAGACAAAUUUUGCCCCUCCUUAUUGAUUGAUUUAAUUAAAUAAAAAAGGAAAAAGAAAAUGGACGCGGACCCCACUCCACCACCAUCUUCUCUCUUCUCCUCUUCUUCAUCUCCAGCCACGAUUUGUGGACCGAUUUCUUCUUCAUCUUCAACCACGAUCGAGCUCCUCUUCCGUUUAACUCCAUCGUCUCUCUCAUUAACACGAGAAGCAACCCAACAACUGAGGUAAUUCUUAUCCAUUGUUAAAUUCAAAAGUCGUUGGCAUGAAAAAUCAUAAUGUUGUGGAUUGUAUGUGUUCCCUAUUGAACUAUUAACAUUGUAGAUUUGGAUUUGAUCCGAUUUUUCUUAUCCUCAUUGUCAAUUAGGGAUAUGAGUCGAAUUGGGUGGACUAUUUCUCAGAAUGUGUGCAUUGUAACAGUUCAAUUGAAUUGAAUCGUAUGAAUGUAUUCUGAAUUUAGUAGUGCGUUGUAGGACAACUGGUAGAACUUGGUAUAACUAUUCGGGCACAACUUGGUAUAACUAUAAUGGUAAAACUUGUAGUACAAAUGGUACUCUUUGGUAUAACUUGGUAUAACUAUGAACACGACAGAGAUUAUAAUGUUAGUUAUCCUAGUCUAUUUCAGGCCACAAUGAAUAAAAACCAUCGAAAAAUCAUAAUAUAUGAUUAUGGGGGAUAUUAUGCAACAAGAGAAAAUGAAACAAGAUAGAAUUCAAGAGAUAAAGUUCAUCAAUCUCUUAGAAUGGAGACAGAGGAGGUCACUUAUUCUGCAGUGGUGAACAAGAUAAGCCGGAAGGCGAAUGUUGAUGAAACAACGACUGAGCUGAAAUUGAGUUACGUUCCAAAAUCAGUGGAGCCUAAGAGACCAAUAUACAUAUUUGAUGAUGACGAUGUUAUGUGUUAUAUGGAUAUGAAUGAAGAUCAUUUCGAAGUUUUGCAUGUCGAAGUCGUAAAUCAGGGGUAUGAGAAGAGUCGAGGAAGUGUAGGUUGUUCACUCAAUGAGGAGCAUAUUUCAAGUAGUAGAGCGACAGAUGGGACCAUGUUCCUUGAUGAAAGCGAGCCGUUUGAAAGUCAUGAGAUGGUGGAAAAUAGUGAUGGGAGAGAUGGGAACAUGAUUCGUUAUGAAGAACAGUCCGAAGAACGAGCAAUAGUAGAAGAUGGCACAUCUGUUGCUGAGAUCACACCUUCUGAGAUCACACCUGCUGCAGAGAUUACACCGGUUGUAAAGCGUGAGUUGGAAGAUGGUUUGGAUAUGACUAUCCGGCAAGAAUUUGAAAGCAAGCAAGUAAUUAAAGAUUUGGUUGAAAAAGCUGCGCACAAGAACUGUUUUGAGUUUGUUAUAAUAAAGUAGGAUCCUAUGUUGUUUGUGCUUAAAUGCUCAGAAUUUAGAAAGGGUUGCAAGUGGGCUUUACGAGCAGCAAGGAAUGGGAAUGCAGAUAGUUUCUCGAUCAGAACUUACACUAAGAUACAUACAUGCUUACGGUCAGAAACAAGUACAAUGAGUAAAAAAAGGAGAGGCACAUCUCAUUUAGUGGCAUCUGUUUUGCGUGAAGAUUUCCCUUGUCUGAUAGACACUCCAACUCCAAAAAAUCUGAUUCCUUUGGUUUAAUCAAAAGUUGGUAUCAAAGUGUCAUACUCAACCGCAAAUAGAGGGAAAAAGCUAGCUGCAGCUGACCUUCGUGGUACCGCAGAGGAUAGUUAUAAGUUGGUUUAUUGUUAUAUGCACAUGUUGGAGAAGAUGAAUCCAGGUACAGUUUCAUUUGUUGAAUUGGAUGAAGCCCAGUGGUUUAAAUAUUUAUUUUUCGCCUUGGGGGCGUGCAUUGAAGGCUUCAAUUCCAUGAGAAAGGUGAUCAUUGUGGAUGCAACCAGUAUUAAAAAUGUAUAUGGUGGAGUACUAAUCGUGGCUUCAGCUCAAGAUCCGGAUCACCACCAUUAUCCAAUUGCAUUUGGUGUAGUUGACAGUGAGAAUAAUGCAAGUUGGACUUGGUUUUUCAGUAUACUGAAAUCAGUUAUACCAGAUUGUACUGAGUUGGUCUUCUGUUCUGAUAGACAUCAAAGCUUGAUCAUGUCAAUAAGUACGGUGUAUCCGUUGUCUCACCAUGGAUAUUGUAUUUAUCACUUGUCUCAGAAUGUCAAACUGAGCUAUAAGAACGUGAACAGAGAUGUAGUUGCGACGACGUUCAUGCAAGUUGCGAAGGCUUACACCGAGUCUGAGUUUGAGAAACUCUACGCUGAUUUCAUUAAAAGGUUUCCAGCUGCAGGUACUUAUCUUGAUAAUCACGUAGGACAACAUAAAUGGGCACGAUGUUUCUUUCCAGGAGCUAGAUACAACAUUGAUACAACUAAUACAGUUGAAUCUAUUAAUGGUGUCUUUAGAUUCUUAAGGGCAUACGCUUUACUACCAAUGAUAGAUGCGAUUGUUGCCAAACUAGAUGAAUGGUUUAAUAAAUAUAGGAAUAUCUAUAGAGACUCCAAUAGAGCAGAAGUUAGUCCCUUUUGUUGAGAAGUUGUUGCACGAUAGAUAUUCAGACGCAAAGCUCUUACCGGUGACUGAACUAAACAGCUAUUUUCACGAAUACAGUGUGACUGGAGUUGAUGGUAGUAGUUAUGUGGUUGAUCUGAAAAACAAAACUUGCUACUGCAAGCAAUUUGAUAUUGAUAGAUAUCCGUGUGUGCACGCUAUUGCUGCGGCUAUGGAAGCAGCAAAAAACGCUGGUCAUGAGAUCAAUGAGAUCCAAUUGCAUGAGCUGUGCAGUAAGUAUUAUUGGAUGGAGCAGUGGGCAUUAGGAUAUUCAAGGACGAUAUAUCCAGUUCCUAUCAUGUCUAUGUGGAUCGUUCCGGACAAUGUGCGUGCUUUGGUUGUCUUUCCUAAGUUUUAUGUCAUAAAAAGAGGUAGGAAACCAACAAAGAGGAUUAAAUCAACAGGAGAACAUGGACGCAAGAAGAAGAAAUCUACCAUCGCGAGCUGGUUUGAGAGUCAAGGUUCCCGAAGUUGAUUGAUUGUAUUUUGAUGUAAUAUCCUAUUUGAACAAUUAGGUACAACUUGUUUUUGUUAUGGUACAACUUGAAUAAUUUGAAUUUGAUUUUCGGAUCUUCUUAAGUCAACUUGUUUUAAUGAUAUUUAAAUUGAUAUAUAUUUUUAAAUAAAAAUAUAUAUUGUUAGUUUUAAAAAAUAUUUCAAUAAUCGAAAAUAAGGAUUUAUUUUAAUUAAUUGAAAAAUCAGGAUUUAUUUGAAUUUUUUUAUAAACGUGAAUUGGAAUUAAAUAUAGAAAACUUAAUAAAUAUAAAUAUAUUGAAUUAUAAUUUCAUCAUGUUAUCCAAUAUAUAUAUAUAAUAAGGAAUCAUGAUUUUUAUUAUUAUACUUUACUAUAGAUAUCAUCAUAUUCUAGGAUUCUAAGUUUAUCAACAAAUACCUUAUACAUUAAGGGUCACUUUCUCAUUGCAAACAACAUAUAAUUAGAAAAGCCAAGAAACAAAUCUUUUCAAAAAUAUUUAGGCAUGUACAUGUGGUAUAUGUACAUCAAUUAAUGAAAAUCAUGUGUACAACUAAAAAUAUUUAUUUUAAACAUUGGACAACUAAUUAAAACUAAAAAAAUGAAAAAGUACAACUUGCCAAAACGAGUACAAUCUGUAACUUUGGUACAACUAGUGCAUUUUGGCGGCUACACAUGUGUCUUUUGGCGGCUACACGUGUCUAAUGUGGAUCACGUGUUUGUUGUGUUUGGUCCUUUUUUUUUUUUUUUUUUUUUUUAAUUUUAUUCUUCCGAUUUUUAAAAAAAUUCAAUUUUCAAAUUGAAAUAGAAAGAGGGAAUUGGGAAUUGGGUAUAUCUAGGGUUUAUUGUCUCUCCUCUCUCUCGACUCUUCACUUCUUCUCCUUCUUCCGUUUUGGUUUUCGAUUUCGUCUUUUUAUUUUGGCUUAGCGGAUUCUGAGAAUGAGUUGCGAAUCUGGAGCAUCGGGAAUCAUAUGUGGUAAUUCUUCCAACCGACGAAGGUUCCCUGGAAUUCCCAAAAAGUGUCAUUGUGGGUCACCAAUAGUUGACAUAAUCUCUCGAUCCAUACCAAAUCCGUGUCGUCGCUACUACCGGUGUGAAUAUGCAUAUGAUAGAAGGGUAAAUAUGUUUUAUCACUAUUGUAUUUGCGAUUUAGUUACCAACUUUUCCUUCUAAUUUUUUUUUUUUGGUAGCUUGUGAAUGAUGGAUAUGUCUUUAAGUGGGUUGAUGAAGCACUGGUGGAUGAGGUAGAACAAUUGGAUUUUCAAGUUGGUGUUUUAGAGGAAGAAGUUACUCUUAUGAAAAUGGAAAGGAUGAAAGAUAUGAAGGAAAUUAAGAAAAUGAGUGUACUCGUUUUCUGUGGUUGUCUUCUUCUGAUAGGGCUGGGAAUAUGGUACAACAAGUGUAACUUGUUCUUCGUAGUACAACUAAGUAUAACUUGUUCUUCGUAGUUGGACAACUAAGUAUAAAACUACUUGGUUUAGCUUUGUUGGUAACUUAGAACUUACUUUGUGUAUUCGGGUUGUAAUUUUUGGUUGUAAAACUAGUAUUUUGUAAUCGUACAACUACUAUGUAGUUUUACCAAGUUGAUCUUUUAAAUGCAGUUGUAUAAUGGGAACUCAGAAACUUAACAUAGAACAUAUAACUUACUAGAAUAGUUCAAAACACAUCCAAAAAGACAUCAAUCCAUAAACCAAUACAAAGAGUUCAAAUAUAAAAUGACUCUAAAACCCAACUUUAGAAUAGAUCAUCAAUUAUCCUUCUUCGCAUUUUGUCUUGUCUGAAUAGGACUCCUUAUGACCACAGUCGCUCCCUUCUUCUUGCUUAUGAUCUUCACCCUUUUACCUUGGUGAGCAUGAACAACUUCUUCUCUUUCCCUCUUUUCUCCUUUAUCCUUAGCUUGUUCUUUCUCGCCAUGUUCCAUCUCAACAUCUUCCUCUCGGCCUUUUUCCGUUGUCCCUAGUUGUUCUUUCUCUUCUUCAACUGUACCAAGUUGUUCUUUCUCUUCAUCAGUUGUACCAAGUUGUGCUUUCUCUUCAUCAACCUUCCCCUUCUCGGUCUCGGGUUUCUCAGACUUUUCCUUCUCACUUUGUUCUUUCUCAGCAUGCUCCUUAUCAGACUUGGACUUAUCCUUCUCAGCCUUAUCAGCUUGCUCCUUGUCUACCUUAUCCUUUUCGGCCUUAGCCUUUUCGGCCUUAGCCCUCUCAGCCUUCUCGGUCUUAUCCUUCUCGGCCUUAGCCUUUUCGGCCUUAGUCCUCUCAGCCUUCUCGGUCUUAGCCGCCUUAGCCCUCUCAGCCUGCUCCUUCUCAGCAUGCUCCCUUUCAGCUUGCUCUUUCUCUGCCUGCUCCCUCUCAACCUUAUCCUUCUCAGCCUGCUCUUUCUCAACCUGCUCCCUCUCAACCUUAUCCUUCUCAGCCUGCUCUUUCUCAGCCUGCUCCCUCUCAACCUUAUCCUUCUCAGCCUGCUCCUUCUCAGCCUGCUCCUUCUCAGCCUCCUCCAUCUCAGCUUCAUUCAUAUCUCCAUUGCCACCUUCAUUCAUACCUUCAUUCGUAUCUCCAACACCUUCAUUCGUAUAAUAUUCAUUUUCACCUGAGGCCCAUCUCACAUAUGAUUCCACAGAUUUAACUCUGUUAUACAGACUAUCAACCUUCUCAAUAAUUUCCUUAAACCCUUGCUUCACUUGUUCUUCUACCUGAACCAAUCUAGCUCCUAGCUGAGCCAAAUUCACCGGAGCCACAGGGUUCACAUUUUCCAAACUCACAUUUUCCAGAUUCACAGGUUCCGGAUUCACAGCUUCCGGAUUCACAUCUUCCGGAUUCACAUCUUCCGGAUUCACAUCUUCCGGAUCCACAUCUUCUGGAUUCUCCCGGGUGGCCAAAUCUUGGUUGUAAAGCUCUUCAAAACAUAUUGACUUCUCUUCAUCAAUUAACACUUGGUCCAACCAUCAACAACGGGAUCAUCUACAUCAUUAUAGGGACUCUCUUCAUCCAUGACACGACCUAAAAGACGUUUCUCACGUGAUGAUGGAGUCAAAAUAGUUUCAAUAUCCUAUGAAAAUAAAACAAUAUAAUGUCAAACCAACCUAGUAAUACCAAAAAUAAAUGAAUAGGAUAAGUAUGGGACUUGCUAACCUUAGUUGUACCAAGUUUGUCAUAAAUUUCCUUCAAUGUAAACCCUUUCAGUUUACUUGCUUUAAAUUUCAACUUGCACAUCCGAGGACAAUGACGACGUGCAUGUGCAUUAUUAACGUCUUCUCGGCAAUAUUCCUUAAGAACAGGAAUUGCCUCAAAAGCAAGAACCUACACACCACACAAAAUCGUGGACUUAAAACUCAAUUAUACCAAGUUAUACUAAGUUGUACAUUUUCAUAAUUCAAUAAUUACCUCCAACGGAAUGACGAAACUAGGAAAGACCCAUUGGUUUGUGCUCAAAACUCCACCAAAGUGGUUCAUACAAUGAAAGAUGUCCUUCAUGUUCUCAUCAAAAGCCAAACGACCCCAAGGGAACGUUUUACACAUGUCCAAAUCAUCAAUAGCCCUAAGAAAGAAUGGCUCUACGGAUGGUGCUUUUUUCCCUGCCUUCUUCUUCCCUAUGAUCACACUACACAAGAAGUUGAGGACCGCCAUCUUCACUCGAUCUGGAGAAGCUCUCUUCAUCGAUAAAAGUUUUGCUUGGACAUCAUCAUAUCUUAUUGUUGUGCCAACACCAAAAUGCUUACCAACAAACUCAUUACUGCCCAGAGUUUCCAUGUCCCGGGGAUACUCAUGGCAGUAUAAGCCAGAAAUCAGUGCCAUUGUUUUAAGAGAAUAUCUGAUGGGAGUACCAUUUACUAUGAACCAACAUUCUUUUUUCUUCUCUAUAGACGCCGUCCGGAGAAGCAACAUCCACAUACCCAUCAAUUUGUGAUUGGCAUCAUUCGGCAUAUGGAAGAAGUGUUUGAACUGUGGGUGUCCUAGUAACCAGUCCAACUCAUGAGACUUAAGGUGAGCUCUCAAGAAGUCCACUGUCCUUGUGAUAUAACACUUAGCAGAUAGCUUGAAUGGCUUCAUGUACUCGUAUCUAUUGAAGUACAUGUUCACCGGUUGCAUUACUUCUGUUCCCUCCUCGGAUUCCUCCUCGGACUCCUGCAAAACAACAUAGUUAUACUAAGUUUUCCCAAGUUAUACCUUUUGAAUUUCGAAUUGAAAUAAACUAGUUAUACUAAGUUCUCCUAAGUUGUACCUUUUCAAUUUCUUAGUAAAAAAACGAGUUCGCAAAAGUUGUACUAUUCUAUCCAAGUUGUAUAUACCGUUGAAUCCCCAGAAUCUGAUUCCGGAUUUGAAUCUGUUUUUUCUGAAUCAUCUCCACGAGUCUCUUCUUCUUCUGUUGGCUUUUCGACUUCACCUACUGGAUAUGUUUCUUUGUUAAAGCUUGCGUUCUUUGUACGCACCAUUCUUCUCUUCUCCUUCACACAAAACCAACAACCGCUAAUUACAACAUACUCGAGUAAUAAAACGAAAUCAACACCCAAAUCGGCUAAACCUAAAUCGAGAACACCUAAAUUGAUAACAUUCAAGCGGAUCUAACUUAAAAUACCCAAAGAAUUAAAGGUUUUGACUUACCCUAUCUCGGGUUGUCCUUAGUUAUACUCGAACUCUUUGUGAUUUUUAGUUUUUUCAAAACACUUAGGGUUUGGGGAACUUAGAUUUUUCAAAAACGAUGAAGAGGAAGACAAAGAGGUUAAAAGAUCCGAUGGAUAUCCGAUAGUGAUAUGGGUUUUCGGAUAUAGACUGGUUGGAUCUGUAAUUGUUUUAUUUUAGUGAGGAUAAGGUUGUAUUUUAACCAAUUUUCGAUUUUUUUAAUUAAUUUUUUUUUUUUCAUUUUGGUCAAACCCUUAUGAGAAUAGAAGAAGGAGUCAAAGGGUACAAGAGAUUUUAGUCCUUCCCAUCUCUAAUGGUUUUCCAAACAGAUUUGAUCUCCUCCUUUAGCACAUCUUGGCUCAUCCCGCUUGCUUGCAAAAACCCAUAGAGCUUUUCAACUUCCUUAAACGUGAGAGAAUAGGUAGUACCUCUCACGCAGAAGGUGAUGUAUCCAAGGCAGUCAUCUGAGUGAAACUCGGAUUCAUCCUCGUAGAAAUGGAGCUGGAGUGAGGCUAACACGUAGCACGUCUCCUCGUCGUAGGCUUCUAAAUUCCUAGUCAUGAAUGAACCGAGCCCGAUUCUCUCGAAUAGAAACUCAACAUCUCGUGCUAUGCCCAGCUCCUUCAUUGUUUGCCGGUGAGGAUAGCGAGUUCCAACGAGCUUUUGGCGCCUAAACAUUGCGUAUAGCUCUUCUGGAGGGGGUAAGUUCUUGGUCUUCCUCGGUGCCACUACCCUCAUAGGCUCUAUAUCCACCAUCGGUUCAUCGACAUCUUCUUCUGCAUGCCUCUUCCCCAUCGAAACUUCUUCUCCUGAAAUCAGGAGGGUCUGACCCGAUCGACUGGCCCGAUCGGGUUCGAGCUCGGGUUUCUCUUCUCCCACUUCUGACCCGAUCAAGUCCGGCUCCAGUGGCUUGGAUUGUCAAGAAAUUUCUUGCAAUUUCUUCAGCGGAUUGACUGUGAUGAGCUUCUCGUUGUGAUCUUGAGAGACUCUUCCUUCUGGGUUGAGGAAUCCUUGAAGACAUCUUUGUUUCCUGGGAAUGCGAAACUCAAAACUCAAAUUUAGUAGGUUAGUAACCCAGAAAAUAAGAACAACAAGAACAAUCUUGAAAAUAAUCCCAGAAAAUAAGAACACAAGGUUCAAUUAUACAAACAAAUUCAGAAAAUGUGAAGAAUCAAAAGCAAGAUUAGCAACAAACCAAGAGAAUGUGAAGAACAAAGGGCAAAUGAAAUCAAACCCUUAAAUUUUAGCAGCCAAGAAUAUAGAGAGAAGGAAGAGAGAAUUCUAGAGAGAUAAGUGAAUUUUUAGAAAAAUGAGAGAAUGAGAGAGGUUUUGGUCGAGUUUAGGGGUUAUAAAGAGGGUGAGAAGGGACAAAAAUUUGAAAGAGGAGCGUUUUUGGUCGGGCUAGAUUCAAAAUUCGAAAUUCAAAUCGAGUUGACCAUUGACCCGACCGUUACCUUUGAUCCGAUCGGACGGCUGAGAUGAACUCGAUCGGGUGGCUCAGUAUGAUUUGAUCGGACGUUCGAGAUUGACCCGAUCGAAUCGCGUUGACCCGACCGUGUGCGUGUUGACUCGACCGAAUGGGCUUGUGAAAUUGGGUUUUAAGGCCCAAAUUGACUCCUUCUUCCUUGUUUCCUUAUCUUGACCCAAUAACACCUUUCUUCACUCACAAUCAAACCUGAAAACACAUCAAACUAAAAGGAACAUCAAAUUAUAAAAAACUUAAAGAAAUAUGUACAGGGAUAUCGUUGGGACUUCCUCCCAAGUGAGCUUGUUUAUGACAAAGCUUGACUUGGUAUAGUCCUCACGAAGUGGUUGAACAAUGGAGAGGUUCAACAAUUCUCUCCAAUGCUAAUGACUAAUGUAUCUAAUACCUCUUCCUUGCAGCAUAUCUGUUCUUGAAAGUAAGUACCCUCUUUGCUUUCCUAGAAGUCAAGAUGUCGUUCUUCUUCUUCAACACCACAGUUUCCCCGGUUAACCCUUGAAUAGUGGUUGCUAGCCGCAUUAAGUCUUUCUUGAGAGUCUUGAUCACUUGGAGUUCAACACAAGUUGGAGAAGAGGUCGAGGUUUCUUCUGUUUUGAGCGUUGUGCUUUGGUAUGGAUACGCCAUAUUCAUCUUCAUCUUUGUUCCUCUAGCAAGAUCAAGGGUCAUGACCCCCAUUCUCAUAUCAAUAACUGCACCUGCUGAGGCUAGAAAUGGUCUUCUGAGAAUUAGUUGAUACUGUGGUUCUCUUUCCAUCUCGAGAAUCAGAAAAUCAGUGGGAAUCUUUACUCUUCCAUCUUCGACAAGGAGAUCCUCCAAUACUCCUACGGGUUGUCUUGAGCUCCUGUCCGCCAUCACAAUCGUCAGGCUCCACUGUGUAAAGGUUGUAUAGCCCAUCCGCUGAGCUAUUGAGAGGGGCAUCAAGCUAAUCGAAGCGCCUGAGUCGCAUAGACACUCGUUGAAGAUCAUUGAUUUGAUUGAGCAGGGGAGUGUGAAAGCUCCAGGAUCCCCCAUCUUCUUGGAGAAGCCAGAAUCCUGAGAGGGUGGAGUCAAACUCUUCCUCUGUUGCAUCCUUUCCAGUAGAACUUUUUUGAGAAUCUCCCUGUAGGAGGGAAUGUUGGCGAAAGCAUCCACUAAAGCCUUCAUCUGAUCAUUCCCUGAUAGAGAAUCGAGAAUGUGGUUAUAUUCUUCCUUGAUUUCGGCUUUAGAUUCUUCUGGAUAAAGUAGUGGUCUUCGAUUCGAGGGCUUGGGGCUGGUAGUUCUGAUCGGGCGAAGAGGCUCAUCGGAAGUUAAUUCACACAAUCUGUCAGACAAACAGCGCACACGAUAUCAGGCCCGAUCGGAUCCGUGGUACCCUUGAUCGGACCGAUCGGGUCUAUGGUAGACUCGAUCGGGUUCGGUGUUGGCACGGUCGUGUCUGCUGUAAACUCGAUCGGGUUCACCGUGUAGGACACAAGUUUGGGCUGAAUCCUCCCCCUCUUGAACCUCACUGUCCUCAGUGAUAAUUGGGUAUGGAUUUCCAAGAGUAAUCGCAUGAGCAGUAGCAAAUUCUUUAGGGUUCAUGAUAGACUUUCCUGGGAGUUGGCCGGAAGAAGUGGAGGUUUGGUUGCCUUCCAUGAUAGCUACUUUUUUGCUUAACCAAUCGAACUUCUGGUUGAGCUCAUGUAUAGAUGCAUUCACAUCGUUUCGAAUCUCGGCGAACUGGCUGGCUUGAUCAAGGCGGCUGUUGUCCUGUGCCUGGAGAAGCUGAUUAAGUGUUGUUUGAACAUCUUGUUCUGGGUAUGCAUGAGUAGGGUGCUGUUGGAACCCUGGAGGAUGAGCUAUAGGUUGUUGAUAAGAACCUUGGGACUGUUGUUGAGGUUGAAAAUCUUGUUUUUUAUUAAAGCCAACAAAUGGCUUAUUUUGGAACUGUUGUUGUUGAGGCGGAUAGACUCGAUCUUGAGGGUUUGCAACAUUGGUGCUUCUAUAAGAGAGAUUUGGGUUGGGUUUAUAGUUGUUGUAACCCUUUUGGUAGCCUUCUUGAUUCUGGAUAUAGCUUACCUCCUCAGUAUUAUCACAAUCACCAUCAUUAGGUUGGAAGGUCUCCUCCUCCUGAACAAAGUGAACAUUCUUCUGCUGGUUCAUCAAAACCUUAUCGAGCUUGUCGUUAAGUGCCUUCAUAUCCUUCUUAUACUUGUCCUUUUGGUCUGUGUUGCCCUAAACGGUUAUGUCAUAAUCCUCGUUGUACGGUCCAUCGGACUGAGCGAGGUUCUCCACAAGUUCCCAACCAGCUUCAACAUCCUUGUUUAGAAAAUUACCAUUGCUGGAAGUAUCGAGAAGUAGGAAAAACUUAGGUAGUAUCCCUCGAUAGAGAGUACUAAGAAGCGACUCAUUGAUGAAACCGUGGUGAGGACACUGUGAUUGAUAGAUUUUGAAUCUAUCCCAUGCUUCAUAAAAGGUUUCGUUGUUGCGCUGAGCGAAGCUAGAGAUAUCGUUCCUCAAUCUGGCGGUUCGUUCAUUGGAGAAGAAUUUUGAUAGGAAUGCUUUCUUACAUUCCUCCUAGGUCGUGAUUGAUCCUGCUGGCAAGGACUUCUCCCAUUGAUGAGCCUUGUCGCCUAAGGAGAAAGGGAACAAUUGCAGCUUGAACCCGUCUUCGCUCACCCCGUUGAUUUUUGUUAAGCCACACAUUCGAUCGAACUCAUCGAGGUGAUCGAGAGGAUCCUCCGUUAAUAAUCCAUGUAAUUUAUUUCCUUGUAUCAUUGAAAUGAGGCUGCUUUUUAUUUCGAAGCUAUUGUUUUGUACUGCUGGCGGGACUAUCCCUUAUCGAGUGGUGUGGUUUCGUGGGGCAUCACCUGCUCCGAUUAGGGUUGGUACCCUUGGUGAAGGCACCAUUUCCACUUGCUGAGUGUUGAUGUCUGAUGUUUGAACGCGUUGCUUUCUGAGUUGUCGAGGGAAGCGUUCAAUGUUGUUGAGGUAAUUGAGCAGGUGCUGGUUACCCUUGGAUCUAGUGUGCAUGCAAGGUUGCUCGAUCAGAAACACGUGGUUAGGCUCCUGAGUUGUCGAUCCAAAAAGGUUGAAGCAAAGGGGAAACAUGUUGUUUGUCUCUUGUCAGAAGAAAAAGGUCCAGCUGGCUUCGCAACAGAGAAAAGCAGAUGCAAGAAAAGUCAAAGGUGUCUUCUUUUCCUUGAAUAUUUUUUGUGGAGAAGGCUGAAAAAAUGACAUGGGGCACAUUCUAUUACUUUGGGCCUAUUUUAGGUGAAAUUUUUUUCUUUGUCCCAGAAAAGUGCAUUAUGUGGUCCUCAUUCAAGUGUAGCAUCUAAUGGAAAUAGAGGGUCAGAGAAUAUGUUGCUGGGAAAUCAGUGGAAAACCAUCUACAUCUUUUUCUGAUAAUCAGAUGGAGUGUUUUGUUUUUUUUAAGAACAGCAAGUCUAUUGACAGAGAAAAUCAGGUUAGCGAAAGUGUUAAUGUGUAAGGGUUUCAUGGUUUUGAGAGUCAAUUGGGUGGCUUAUGUUAAGGUUCUUAUGUAUUUCUUCCUUUGAAGAGGAGUGGCAUGUAUUCUGAUCUACCAAAUCUGUUACUCAUGGAGUUCAUCCAAUGUCACUGGUUCUUCAAGAGAGUAAUCUCAACAAGAAGGUGACAACAAUUUGUUUGAAGUCUACAAUGUGAGAAAGACAGGGGUAUUCUGGUUCUGAAGUUCCAUCAGGAUGUUGUGUGGUUAUAUUUUCUAGUUGAUCCUUGAAUAUGGUCUUCUGAAUUGACAUUAGACCUUUGGGUAUUCUGCUUUUGUCUCUAUGAAGAAAUCAAGAUCAUCUCAGAAAUUUAAUCGUAGCUUCGAGAUACUAAAAGAAAGAAGGCGAAUUCAGAGCUAAUGAAAUGCGGUUAUGAGAUCAUAUGGGUAUUUUGAAACCAAUGAUAUGAAAUCAAUCCUAAUUCUAAUACUGUACCAGCAAGUCAAAGCCACAAGAUUGACCAGGUUAUGGUCUUCUCUAGUUUUAAAUUGUCUGGGUUUUUUAAUUUAAUUUGUUUUGUUUACAAGUUUGAGUCGAACGUUUUUUGGUUAGCUUAAUUUAUUGAUUUUUUGUUUUCAUUUUUGUUUGAUGGGAGACUUUUAGUUCAGAGACUGAGUAUUUUCUAAUGCUUAAAUUUUUCAUACAACCAAAUUAUUGAUGGAUAUGAUUUAAGCUUCACAAGAUUGGUGUUUGCGUUUUGCCAGGUCUUGAAAUGUUUACGGUUUCAUAAAGCCAAAGGUUGUAUCUUGAAAGAUGUUUUGAGUAAUAAAAUAUUGUGCUAGGAGUACACCAAUUUAUAAAUAUAGUUUGUUGGUUAUAUAUAAGCUCAUCUAUAAGCUCACCAAGAUACUAAUUAGUUUUGACUAUGUGUAUUGUAGUGCUUCUUUAUGAAUCCCUAAUUUCCCGUGUCCUAAAACCAACUGUUUGUUCAGGCAUAUGGAUAUGUUGCUUGUCCUCAUACGUUAGAUGCUUGUUUGAAACUAAUUUAGUGGCCACCGUUGUUGCUUCCAAGCAAGGUUAGUGAUCUUUUCUUCUUCUUUUUGCCAUUACAAAUAAUUUUUUUUCUUCUUCUCCUUAUUGCUUAUGUUAUCAUCUUGGUACAAAUACCGAUAACAAUGGUUAUGACAACUUAAUUUAGAACCGUAUCAACGCUAGGAAUACAUUAAAUCUGCUGUCAUCAGAUGGGUACGAGUCAUUCAAACAUGUCUUUCACACCUUGGUAAUUGAGAAAAAUAAGAAAAGGUAUUUCCUUUUGUAAGCUAAAGAGAAGAUAGAGAGGGAAUUCAAGUGUGUCUUUAUUCAUAGGUUAUGAGUCCUUUAUAUAAGGAUGCACAUAAGACACAUAAGUAAAACCUAGCCGCCUAAUACAAAGAUGGGCCGGGCUUGGGGAUGGGCUGGACCGGGCUUGACUUAUGACAAUCCACUAGUUGAUGUAUAACACUCCACCUUGGAUGUUAUAACCAUUAGAGCUCGUAAUACGCUUUGGAUGUCAUAACCAUUAGAGCUCGUAAUACGCUUUCGAUGUUGCCUCAUUAAAACCUUACCAGGAAAACCCAAUGGGAUAAAACCAUAGUGAAGGAAAAAGAGUGCAACACGUAGUACUCCCCCUGUUCUGAACCUCACUGAAGAUCUUUCAGUCAGCGCAUUCCAAUCUGAUGUGUAAGUUUCUUGAACAUUGAGUUUGGACUUCUCCAGCUUUUUGUAACUCGUGAGUGAAAAAGAACGUUGGCAAGAUGUGUUUCGUCCUAUCUCCUAUGAUGUAUCCGUCUAUAAGUAAAGCUAUGCAUGCUUCAUUGUCCUCGUACAUGAUGGUUGGUGCCGCCUUCCCUUUUGGCAUCCCACAGUCGAUUCUAAUGUGUUGAGUCAUGGACCUUAACCAUACACAUUCACGACUGGCCUCAUGCAUCACCAAUAUUUCAGCAUGGUUGGACGAUGUUUGCUUCAUGGAUUGUUUGCUUCAUGGAUCGCCAAGAUAGAGCAGUACCACCAUGUGUGAAAACAUAAACUGUCUAAGAUCGACCAUUGUGUGGAUCCGAGAGAUAACUUACAUUAACAAAACCAAUUAACCUCUCAUUGGGUUGGUUAGUAUAAAAUAGACUCAAGUGUUUCGUUCCUUGUAGGUAGUGAAGAAUAUGCUUAAUCAUGUUCCAGUACCUUUGGGUUGGACAUGAGCUAGAUCUAGAUAAUAAAUUAACGACAAAACAUAUAUUUGGCCUAGUGUGGCUUGCCAGAUACAUUAAAGCUCCUAUGGCACUUAGAUAUGGAAUUUCGGGACCAAGGACUUCUUCAUCCUCUUUCUUAGGACCAAACAGAUCUUUGUCUAAAUCAAGAGAUUUCACGACCAUGGGGCUAGUCAAUAGGUGAGAUUGAUCCAUGAGUAUUAAUGUACUCAAGCUGUAAUUCCAAACAAAACUUUGUUUUUCCAAGAUCUUUCAUCUCAAUUUUUUUCUUAAGAUAUUCAACUGUUUGGGAAAACCUCUUAGGAUAUUCAGGUCGUCAACAUACACCGUGAUGAUAACGAACCCCUUAUCAAAUUUCUUUAUGAAUAUACACGGAGUGAUGGGGUCGUUCUUAUAGCCCUCGUUCCCUAAGUACUCGGUUAGCCUAUUAUACCUCAUUCGACCAAAUUGUUUCAAUCCAUAAAGGGAUUUAUUCAAUUUUAUACAAUAUUGUUCUCGAGAACUUAUUUUAUCUUUGAGCUCAAUACCCUCUAGUACUUUCAUGUAUAUCUUAUUAUCCAGUGGACCAUAUAAAUAUGCAGUUACUACAUCCAUUAACCGCAAGUCUAAUUUCUCUCUUAUGGCCAGACUUAUUAGGAAUCUAAAAGUAGUAGAAUCAACCACAUGGGAGUACGUCUCCUCAUAAUCUAUUCCUGGUCUCUGUGAAAAUCUUUGUGCAACAAGCCAUGCUUUAUAUCUCACGAUUUCACCAUUUUCAUUUCUUUUUCUCACAAAGACCCAUUUAUGUCCAACUGGUUUAAUAUCAAGAGGUGUCCGAAUUAUUGGACCAAAGACAUUCCUCUUCCUUAAAGAAUUUAACUCCAUGUUUAUAGUUUCUUUCCAUUUAAUCGAAUAUGAUCGUUGAGUGCACUCUAAGAUAGACGUGGGUUCUAAAUCCUCUCUUAUGUCCAUAAGUUCAAGUGCUACCUUGUAUGCAAAUAUAUUAUCAAUGUCGACAUUCUUUCGGUUCCAUUGUAUUCCCGACAUAACAUAAUUUAUUGAGAUCUCUUUAUCAUCAAGAACUUCAGUACCUUGAAGCUUGGCCUCCCAAGCCUCAUUAUUAGGUAUCUAAGGUUCUGUUAUGUCUUGGGUUUCUUUAACCACAGUUUCCUCAACCUCGGAUUCAUCUUUAUCAUGAUCAAAAUCAUCUUCAUUUUCGUAAUGGACCAAGUGGGCUUCCGGAUUUUACCCUUUAAUACUCUCUUGAUAGAGUUCAACAAAAUGCUUGGGAGUCCGACAUGUUUUAGUCCAAUGAUUCCCCAUUCCACAUCGAUGACAUACUGAUUUGGCGGUUGAGUGUUGUGGUAUAAAGGAAGUACCACGGCCUCAGCCUCUACUAUCAUGGUACCCGCGGCCUCGGCCUUGUCCUCGACUGUAGGAGUUAGAGUGGCCACGACCAUGUCCUUGCCAUCUCUCACGUCCAUUGCCAUUUUUAUUAUACUCUUUCUGGAUGUGGUUAGAUUCAUUAGAUUCCUUCUUUGCCUCUAUGACCACAUUGGCUUCACGAAGUAGGGUUUAUCCAAGAGGUCUCNNNNNNNNNNNNNNNNNNNNNNNNNNNNNNNNNNNNNNNNNNNNNNNNNNNNNNNNNNNNNNNNNNNNNNNNNNNNNNNNNNNNNNNNNNNNNNNNNNNNCGAUAUUGUUGUUGCAACAAUACCUUACUAGUCUGGAAGGUAGAAAAGGUCUUUUCAAGCAUAUCCUUUUCGGUUAUAUCCUCACCACACAGUUUCAAUGUAGAAACGAUCUUAAACAUGGCUGAGUUAUACUCAUCCACGGACUUGAAGUACUGGACUCUGAGAGAUUCCCCCAAUCAUACAUGGCCUUUGGUAAUAACACCGUCCUUUGGUGAUCAUAUCUCGAUUUCAAUUCAUUCCAAAGGUCCAAAAGAUUCUGAAUUAUCAAGUACUGAUCUUUGAGACUCUCAGCAAGAUGAUGGCGAAUAAUUAAUAUUGCCUCAUAUCUAUUCUUUUCGGGCUCGUCAUUCUCAUCCACAAUACAUUCACCGAGCCCUUCUGAUUUCAUCAAAAUCUAAGUUGUUGAGUUUCGACAUCUGAAAUCAUAUGCUUAUUCUUUUAGAUUUCAUAAAAUUCUAAUGUUCAUGCAAAGCAAGUUAUGUUCAUGAUUCAAACCUAUUAUACAAUUCUAGAUGUUCAUAUGGAUAUAUGCUAAUUGGUUUUCAUGCAUUUAUAUUCAAUUUUUAGGGUAAUUAACUAUCAUGCAUUCAUAUUCGAUUAAACAUAUUAAAAAUAUUCAUAUUCGCUUAAACAUAUUCAUAAUUAUAAAUCAAGGGUUUUCAUAAAAUAAAAUAGAUAUGAAUUCAUAUUAAACAAGCAAGCAAUAAUCCAUAUGAAAAUAAUCAAGCAAUAAACGAAUUCAGGAUUUUAGGGUUUUAGGGUUUCAUAUGAAAUCAAUAACCAAUUUCAGGUUUUAGGGUUUCAUAUGAAAGCAAUAAAUUUUCCAUAUUUUAUGGUUUUAGGAUUUCAGGGUUUUCAUGAUUAGGGUUUUAGUAAUUAACUUACCUUGAUCUCCUGAAAGGGUUGAAUGGACUAUGAGCAAGAGAACCUUAGAAACGCCGUGAACCUCUGUGGGUUGAGCAAGAGAACGUCGCUAGCUGAUGCUUUGUUUGUCCGGAACCGUCAGCGAUGUUGAUGCUUGAUGGGUGGGGAUUUUAGGGUUGGAGGCGCUUUAGCUUUUAGGGUGUUAGAAAAAUCAAGCUGAUAACGUGUUGUAAACUAAAGAGAAUAUCGAGAGGGAAUUCGAGUGUGUCUUUAUAGAUGGACUGGGCUUGGUGAUGGACAGGACCGGGCUUAACUUAUGGGCUGGACUAGGCUUGUUAUGACAAUCCUCAUUCAUCAUAACAAAUAUUUCUUGCAACUUCUAGUUUGGAUAGAGUUGGUCUAUGCCUUAUACAUCGUAAAACUGUUUAAUUAUAUUUAAAAAUGCAUAGACAUUGACUUGGUAACAUCUAAUGCCUUAUUAGUGGUAUCAUGUCAGUAUAUUGCAGUGUUAGAUCGCAAAGGUAAACAAAAAAUUCAGUAUUGUUUCCCUAGCAGUAUUUUCACAUUCUCGUGUUAAUUUGAUGUUUUGGAAUAAUAUUGUUCCAUUAAAUUUAUAUCAAAGUAAAAAAUAAAUUAGAUACUUUUAGGUACUAGGUUAUUAACCCGCGCUACGCGCGGGGUAUAUUUGUAUUGAUUAUUUUAAAUUGUUAUAGAUUUAGUAAUCAAUUAAAUAGCUCAAGUAUGUAUUUAUUGAUUAUUAUAAAAACAAUUUAGACCUAGUAAUCAUUUAUAUAUACAUUGAUAAAUACUAUGCAGAUGUACUAUAACAUUUUAAUUUUGAUUUGUGCUAUAACAUUUUAAUUUUGAUUUGAGUAUCCUUUAUGUUGUUUAAAAAAAUUGUGUUAAUAAAAUGGGGAAUUUCAAAAAUACCCCUUUUCCAAUACCACUUUUUUAAAAUACCCUUCUUUCUAAUUUUAUCAAAAAGUCACUAUAAAAUUUGAAAUUUAUCAAAAACAUAUGUGCAAACUUAUAUUUAUAGACACAAAUUAUCUUUAUAUGUGUGUAAAUUUCUAUAUAUAUUUCAUAAAUACCGCAUAAAUACCUUUUAAAAACUUUUUAAAAAUCAUUUAAAAACCUUAUAAAAACUUUGUAAACCUUUUAAAACCUUAUAAAACAUUAUAAAUUCCGUUUAGAACCUUUUAAAAUCUUAUAAAUAUUUGGAUUUAGUCUCCCAAUAGUAAUGAUGAUCUCGAUGUACCUUAUUAACCAUAUAAAAGUUUAUAAUUUGUCAUAUUUGAAAAGGGGUAUUUUGGAAAAUGGAUAGAAAAGAGAGGUAUUUUUAAAAAGGAGUACACAAAAGGGGUAUUUCUCAAAAAUUCUCUUAAUAAAAAAGAAAAAGUAAAAAAUUAAAUGUGAUUAGUUAAAAUAUAUAUAUUUUUUAUUCGUGGACAAAAAAGAUAAUACAAAUUUUAAGGGUUUGAAAUAUUUCUGGUCUCUUUCACCAACAACGUUCUGACUGAAUCUUAUUAGUUAAGUAGUUGUGAUAUAGCAGAAAUAUAUGAUGGGAACUUGAAUUCUAAGACUUCCUCAUUUUAGUAUCCGCAAUUUUACUACUAUUCAUCUUUUCUGCUCACUUUAUAUUAGCUAGUAUAGAUUUUUAAAUAUAAUAUUAUGAAAAAUCUUUUCAGUAUCUAAACUUACUAAUUCUAUUUUGUUAUAUAAUAUAUGAUCAUUAACAGUAUAUUUAAUGUAAUGCCGUGCUCGAAAAUUGGUGUUGUCGAUCCACCAACAUUUUUCGGUUUGAUCGGUUUGCUUUUAAUUGCGAAAUCGAGCGGUUAUGGAUUGGUUUAACCUAAGUUCGAAUUUUUAAAAGAUGAAUUGUCAACCUAGUUUUUCAGUAGCUGCUUUUGUCUUUUUUCAAAAGCUCUAAAAGUUUCUUGGUGGUUCUAGGCUAAAGAAAGUUAGAUCCGUGGUUUUUGGUGUUUGAGGAGUUAUUUUUCACCAUUGUUAGCUCAUGUUCGUUGCUGUUCGAUCUUGUUAAAGAGGUGAGUGCAUGACCUAGGCUUAUCUAAGCUGUUUUGAUUCAUGUUUUUGUGAUUUCUAUGGUUGUUGAUUGAUUUUCUUUGUUUGUAUGCAUGUUUCUUGUGUUGUGGUGCCUCUGGACGAGGCUUGUGGUGUAUCUACUCGGCCAUGGAUUGAUUGGAGGAGUAAAUCCGUUGAUAAUAAGCGACUAGAGGGAUGUUAGGGCAUCGGUGUCGAUCGACAGCAAUCUUCUGUAUCGCGAGGAUAGUCCCGAGUGUAAAUCGACACCUGUGGCAAGUGUCGACCAACACUACUCGUCAUGUUGAAUUAUGUGAUUAUUGUUAUUGUCAUUUCUUAUGAUUUUUGGUUAUUGCUUGAAUGUGAAUUAUACUGCUUGUGCGUAUAGCCCAUUGUGGGGAUGAAUGUCUCACUAAGUAUUUAUGAAAUACUUAUGAAUCUCUUUACGGGAUGCAGGUAAAGGAAAGGUGUGAUCGUGGAAUCAUGGCGAGGAGAGAAGAAUGAUCUAGGGGCUCGCUGAUUGUUCUAAAUAAUUGCUAGAGUUGGUUAGAAAUUGUUAGUUCUUGAAUUUAGAAACAUGUUAGGAAGUUAUUCUAUUUCUGGAAGUUGACUAUUUUGGAUAUUGGAUUGGUUGUUGAUUUAAUGCAUUUGUUUUACUUGGAUUUGUGGUUAAGUCUUCCGCUGGUUGUUGUUAAAUGGUUUGGUUGAAUUGGAGUUGUUGGUUAAUCUUUUCAAAUCAGAAUUUGAUGGUUUAAUUUGAUUAGUCCGGUUUAGCUGGUUUAGCUGGUCUUACUAAUUGUGUUAAUCCGGUUGCAUGGUUAAAAGUUAAAAAAUGUUGGGUUGUGUAUUUUCAAUUUGGUAUCAGAACCCUUACGGUUCUAAGGCUGGGUUAAAUAGGUGGUUGUGAUGUGAUGUGUGAAUUUUGUUGAUGAGAAAUAAUGAUGUGAAUUGCAUGCCUGAUUGAUUUUUAUGUGUUUAAUCAAUUGUGUGGGCAUGGGGACCUAGAUCAUUCUCUCUCGAGCAUUCAAUGAGAUUCCACGGUAAGUUGUGUGUUUUCUUGAUUAAUGUUCAUGUGUGCUUAGCCUUCUGUUGUGUAGUGCAGAUGGUUAGAGGUGGAUCUGCUGGUCGUGGUCGUGGUCGUGGGCGUGGUCGCGGUAGGGGGCGUGAUGUUGCCUCGGGUAGCGACACGAGUGUGGAUCGUCAAUGAAUUGAGCCAUCAACGACUCGUUGGACUCUUCUAACUCCAAGGAGUUCAUGAGCUUCUCAAACUCCUCAAAAUACUAAUCCACGGUCCUAGUUGAUGGUAACAAAUCUUUGUCUCCUCCUCUCGGCCACUUUACAAUCCCACCAAGACAAUGCAUUGUCAGUGAGUUGAGCCGACGCUAAAGCUACCUUUCGGGUUUCUCCAUAUCUAUAACAUUGGAAUAUGUAUUUCAUUCUUCUCUCCCAAUCCAUGUAGACCUCUGGAUUUGAUUUUCCUGCAAAAGUAGUAGGUGUUAGUUUAACAUCUCGGUUCUGUUCAUGGGUUUCCAUCUCUUCGAGCCUGAACUGGUCAGCUUUAGCUCUGGGCUGAGGCUGCUCCAAACAGCCUAUCCUUUCGCCUAACCCCUCCAAUUGCUUUGUUAGGGUUUGAAUCAUUUGCAGCAUGGCAUUUUGGGGUAUGGCUGCUUUUUCUCUUAUUUUAAGUGUCUAAAAGUAACUUACUAUUAGCAAAAACAACACAGAAAUCAACGUACCACAGAAAUCGAAAAAUGAAAACUUUAGAAACAAGAAAUUAACAAUCGCUGAUGCACUUGCUGAAUCAGACAAGAAAGUAAAAACUUUUUUUUUAAAAAAUAAGCUUUAAGAUACUUAAACAAUACAAGCUAACAAAGAUAAUGACACAAAAAAUUUAAAAGCGAAAUAAUAUAUAUUUUUUUACGUAAACUUUGAACUAAUACAGAAACUAAAAUCAAAGACUGAGGUAGGAGAUUUAAGGAAAAAUAAGUGACGAAAUUUUAUUUUUACUUUUUUUCUAAAGAGCUAAUAAAACUAAACAACUUGUAUAAACAAGACUGCGGCAAACUAGGGUCCUUAAUUUUUUUGUUUUUUUGAAACUUAAAUAAAACAAAACUAGAAAUCAAAACUAUAGAAAGAAAAUGGAAAAGAUCAACCUGGCAAGGGAAGAGCGUGAACUGUGCUCUGAUACCAAAUGAUACAAGACUCUGUGGUGAGCUUAUACUAGGAUAGAG
RNAcentral lists this long non-coding RNA (39269 nucleotides) under Capsella rubella. Its description in RNAcentral is "long non-coding RNA (CRUB_LNC003085)". The stretch from base 29174 to 29280 matches the Rfam family "Plant small nucleolar RNA R71". Lineage: Eukaryota; Viridiplantae; Streptophyta; Magnoliopsida; Brassicales; Brassicaceae. The record is from RNAcentral.